Molecule: ribosomal RNA, 832 nt
Filed under: uncultured Inocybe
Lineage: Eukaryota; Fungi; Basidiomycota; Agaricomycetes; Agaricales; Cortinariaceae
Description: eukaryotic LSU rRNA
Rfam family: Eukaryotic large subunit ribosomal RNA
Source: RNAcentral
GAAUUCCCCUAGUACUGCGAGUGAAGCGGGAAAAGCUCAAAUUUGGAAUCUGGCAGUUUCUGACUGUCCGAGUUGUAAUCUAGAGAAGUGUUGCCUGUGCUGGACCGUGUACAAGUCUCCUGGAAUGGAGCAUCAUAGAGGGUGAGAAUCCCGUCUUUGACAUGGACUACCAGUGCAUUAUGGUAUGCUCUCAAAGAGUCGAGUUGUUUGGGAAUGCAGCUCAAAAUGGGUGGUAAAUGCCAUCUAAAGCUAAAUAUUGGCGAGAGACCGAUAGCGAACAAGUACCGUGAGGGAAAGAUGAAAAGAACUUUGGAAAGAGAGUUAAACAGUACGUGAAAUUGCUGAAAGGGAAACGCUUGAAGUCAGUCACGUUGGCUAGAAAUCAACCUUUGCUUUUGCUUGGUGUAUUUUCUAGUCUACGGGUCAGCAUCAAUUUUGACCAUUGGAUAAAGUCUUUGGGAAUGUGGCAUCUUUGGAUGUGUUAUAGCCCAUUGUUGCAUACAGUGGUUGGGAUUGAGGAACUCAGCACGCCGCAAGGCCGGGUCAUUUUGACCACGCUCGUGCUUAGGAUGCUGGCAUAAUGGCUUUAAUCGACCCGUCUUGAAACACGGACCAAGGAGUCUAACAUGCCUGCAAGUGUUUGGGUGGAAAACCCAUGCGCGUAAUGAAAGUGAAAGUUGAGAUCUCUUUUGGAGAGCAUUGACGCCCAGACCAGACCUUUUGUGACGGAUCUGCGGUAGAGCAUGUAUGUUGGGACCCCGAAAGAUGGUGAACUAUGCCUGAAUAGGGUGAAGCCAGAGGAAACUCUGGUGGAGGCUCGUAGCGAUUCUGA